RNAcentral lists this microRNA precursor (63 nucleotides) under Medicago truncatula (barrel medic). RNAcentral's name for it is "miR395g stem-loop (mtr-MIR395g)". Its record names the gene mtr-MIR395g. The record is from miRBase by way of RNAcentral. Lineage: Eukaryota; Viridiplantae; Streptophyta; Magnoliopsida; Fabales; Fabaceae.
GAGUUCCUCUGAACGCUUCAUAUAAGAGGUUAUCCAUCUUCAUUGAAGUGUUUGGGGGAACUC